CAAAACGUAGCUCAAUUGGCAGAGCAAAGGUUUUUUCAUCCUUUCUGACCUUGAUUGCCGGUUCAAAUCCGGUCGUUUUGC
RNAcentral lists this transfer RNA (81 nucleotides) under Caudoviricetes sp. RNAcentral describes it as "tRNA-Lys". It matches the Rfam family "tRNA". From Rfam's summary of the family: Transfer RNA (tRNA) molecules are approximately 80 nucleotides in length. The record is from RNAcentral. Lineage: Duplodnaviria; Heunggongvirae; Uroviricota; Caudoviricetes.